UGGGGAAUAUUGCACAAUGGGGGAAACCCUGAUGCAGCGACGCCGCGUGAGCGAAGAAGUAUUUCGGUAUGUAAAGCUCUAUCAGCAGGGAAGAAAAUGACGGUACCUGACUAAGAAGCUCCGGCUAAAUACGUGCCAGCAGCCGCGGUAAUACGUAUGGAGCAAGCGUUAUCCGGAUUUACUGGGUGUAAAGGGAGCGUAGGCGGUAAGGCAAGUCUGAUGUGAAAGGCCAGGGCUCAACCCUGGGACUGCAUUGGAAACUGUUUAACUGGAGUGUCGGAGAGGCAAGUGGAAUUCCUAGUG
This 303-nucleotide ribosomal RNA is filed under the name uncultured bacterium. RNAcentral's name for it is "bacterial SSU rRNA". It matches the Rfam family "Bacterial small subunit ribosomal RNA", at positions 355 to 675 of the family's 1533-position model. The record is from RNAcentral.